UACGUAGGGUGCAAGCGUUGUCCGGAAUUAUUGGGCGUAAAGAGCUCGUAGGCGGUUUGUCGCGUCUGCUGUGAAAACCCGAGGCUCAACCUCGGGCCUGCAGUGGGUACGGGCAGACUAGAGUGCGGUAGGGGAGAUUGGAAUUCCUGGUGUAGCGGUGGAAUGCGCAGAUAUCAGGAAGAACACCAAUGGCGAAAGCAGCUCUCUGGGACGGUACUGACGCUGAGACGCGAAAGCGUGGGGAGCGAACAGG
Molecule: ribosomal RNA, 253 nt
Filed under: uncultured bacterium
Lineage: Bacteria
Description: partial 16S ribosomal RNA
Rfam family: Bacterial small subunit ribosomal RNA
Source: RNAcentral